GAAUUUUCUUUAAUUUCUCUUACAGGGUAUUGAAAGAGUCCAUCCGGUCUCAAGAUUGCUGUACAUCAGUGCUGCCACCCACUCACUCACCCGCUGUGUCAGAUCGAUGAGAGCCACUUGGAAUGAGAGUGUGUCUGAGGUCCCCAGGCUGCUCUGGAAGGAAGACGUGCUGCAUUGAUGUCAGCAAUUUUUUCAAAUUGGGCUGCAUUGGGGAAUUGUGUAAAAUGAAGGCGUUUAAAGAAAAACAGCCACUCACUAAUCCCACGGAUGAGGAGUUAACCUUAGGAUAUAAUCCAAACAGCAGAAAAUCAUUUACCUGUGAAGAUGCUUGGUGUUUCUUUAGGAUAACAAAGUACUGGGAGAUAUCUUAUUUUUGUGUCUUAGGUUAAAGGAGAAACACAUGAUUAUCUUGCUGGAUGCUAAAAUAGCAUUUAUUCAACUUCAGUAGCUGUUCCUAGUAAAUGUUUUUAGAAAGCCAGGAAUAAAAGGAUAGCCCUUAAUUUAUGAAGAAUAUAAGGAACACACACACACGCACGCACAUACACAUACAUACACACACACACACACACACACACCAUUAAGCACAAAAGGCAACAGAGGAAACCUUGUCAUCCAGUUUGGUAAAACACUGAAUAGACCCUGAGAUUUGAGACAAGUUAUGUGAGUGAGGAACUUUCCUGGGGUGAGUAGUUGGAAGAAUGAGUCAGCAAAUGUAAGAACCAUCACAGGCAUAAUGAUUAACUGUCCAUUAAAAAUUAAAAACCCUUCUAUCAAGUAAGAUAAUUAAUACUUAGUAAAUCAAAAUCAGUUCAAAAAAAAAUCCCUGGAGAACAAAAUCUGCAAAUUUCAAAUAAAGAUGGACUUGAC
This 867-nucleotide long non-coding RNA is filed under the name Marmota monax (woodchuck). The record is from RNAcentral. Lineage: Eukaryota; Metazoa; Chordata; Mammalia; Rodentia; Sciuridae.